CCGGAAAAAGGAGACGUUACUUUAUCGCAGCAGCUAAACAAACCAAUCUUCAAAUAAUGCAUCCUUCACCUUGGCAAAGGGCAUUUCUUGAAGAAACGGACCUAUCCUGUACUUAACAGCUUGUGGGUCAAAGAUGUAUUUCAAAUUGUGAGUCUCAAUCCCUUCCUGGGUCAGGAAGUCAUGUGAAUGGGUUGACUGGCAUUUCCCCCCUUUCUGUUGCAGUUUUGCCAUAGAUGUGGGGAGGUAUACACACUGUGAGAAUAAAGUUUGAAAUUCCAGAAGUUGAACAUGCCCAGAUCAAAAGCAGACCUGAGAUGUCCCUAGAAUAUCCUUAUCUCCCUUCUGUGACCUCCCCCCACUAAGGUGACCAGUGACUGGCAUCAUGAUUUCUAACAGCUUAGAUUAGUUUCACCUGUUUUUGUAGGCCAUCCUCUCUUUAGACUUCUCUUUUUCCAGAGAAGCAGAAGAACUCUGGAGUGCACUGACCAUUAGGAGGAUGAAACUGUUAUCCCUGUGGUUGUCCUCUUAUAAUUCACAUCAGUGCCUUGUCCAGAGUAGCAGAUGCUGAAUACAGUUAUUGAGUGGAUCCAGAUUAACAACGUAUGGAAAAAUCAUUCUGAGAAAUGAGGCACACCCGGUACCUCCUAGUCAUCCUCAGCCAAUCAGACGCCCCCUUCUGAUGCUCCCAGCCUUCCUCCCCAGCCUGCACCAGCCUUUUCCCAUCGCAGAGUCAAGUGCAAAGUUUCCUGGGCCAUUUUCUGACAAUUCAGAGAACGUGAGACUGAGAAAGGUCUUUCGACAUCUCCUAAUCUGAUGACAAAUCUCUACAGAGGAGCAAGGAGGCAAGAAGACUGAGGCGGGCUAUCAGUUCACUGCCUCCCUCCCCGACUGCUCUGGGCUAAAGCAUGCAGAAGAGGCUCCAUCGGAAGCUGAGGCUUAUUCCAUAUCUGUGAUAUCAGAUAAAUCUUGUCAAGAGGCAAGUGUCUACCAGCAAAAGGAAUGUACUAUCAGGGUAUUUCCAAGAAGAGGCAAGAGGAAAAACCUUUCAUCACACGCACCUCUGGACGAAUGCCCCUGUUCUCUGCUUGUGGAAGAAAGCAGCCAUUGGACUGUGCACAAAUGCACCUCAACAAGCAAGAUUCUAGAACAUGCCUGCCACUUGUGCGCACAAGCUUAUGACACCCACCCACCUACUAAUCCGAGAG
Molecule: long non-coding RNA, 1205 nt
Organism: Dama dama (fallow deer)
Lineage: Eukaryota; Metazoa; Chordata; Mammalia; Artiodactyla; Cervidae
Exons: 3
Source: RefSeq, a predicted model, not a curated record